CCCUUAGAUGUUCUGGGCCGCACGCGCGCUACACUGACGAAGUCAGCGAGCAUGUCCUACGCCGACAGGUGCGGGGAAUCUUGUCAAACUUCGUCGUGAUGGGGAUUGAUUAUUGAAAUUCUUGAUCAUCAACGAGGAUUUCCUAGUAAGCGCAAGUCAGCAGCUUGCGUUGAUUACGUCCCUGCCCUUUGUACACACCGCCCGUCGCUACUACCGAUUGAAUGGUUUAGUGAGAUCUUCGGAUUGGCGCCACUGCGGCUCAGCAAUGGGCUCGGUGGAUGCCGAAAAGUUGAUCAAACUUGAUCAUUUAGAGGAAGUAAAAGUCGUAACA
Molecule: ribosomal RNA, 331 nt
Filed under: uncultured eukaryote
Lineage: Eukaryota
Description: partial 18S ribosomal RNA
Rfam family: Eukaryotic small subunit ribosomal RNA
Source: RNAcentral